GACGAACGCUGGCGGCGUGCUUAACACAUGCAAGUCGAACGGAAAGGCCCUGCUUUUGUGGGGUGCUCGAGUGGCGAACGGGUGAGUAACACGUGAGUAACCUGCCCUUGACUUUGGGAUAACUUCAGGAAACUGGGGCGAAUACCGGAUAGGAGCUCCUGCUGCAUGGUGGGGGUUGGAAAGUUUCGGCGGUUGGGGAUGGACUCGCGGCUUAUCAGCUUGUUGGUGGGGUAGUGGCUUACCAAGGCUUUGACGGGUAGCCGGCCUGAGAGGGUGACCGGCCACAUUGGUACUGAGAUACGGCCCAGAAUCCUACGGGAGGCAGCAGUGGGGAAUAUGGCACAAUGGGCGGAAGCCUGAUGCAGCAACGCCGCGUUCGGGAUGACGGCUUUCGGGUUGUAAACCGCUUUCGCCUGUGCCGAAGCGUGCGUGGCGGUAAUGGGUAAAGAAGCACCGGCUAACUACGUG
This 468-nucleotide ribosomal RNA is filed under the name uncultured bacterium. RNAcentral describes it as "partial 16S ribosomal RNA". It matches the Rfam family "Bacterial small subunit ribosomal RNA", at positions 28 to 507 of the family's 1533-position model. The record is from RNAcentral.